UACGUAGGUGGCAAGCGUUUGUCCGGAAUUAUUGGGCGUAAAGCGCGUGCAGGCGGUCCUUUAAGUCUGAUGUGAAAUCCCGUGGCUUAACCACGGGCGGUCAUUGGAAACUGGGGGACUUGAGUGCAGAAGAGAAGAGCGGAAUUCCACGUGUAGCGGUGAAAUGCGUAGAGAAUGUGGAGGAACACCAGUGGCGAAGGCGGCUCACUGGCCCGGUACUGACGCUGAGGUGCGAAAGCGUGGGGAGCAAACAGG
This 255-nucleotide ribosomal RNA is filed under the name uncultured bacterium. RNAcentral describes it as "partial 16S ribosomal RNA". It matches the Rfam family "Bacterial small subunit ribosomal RNA", at positions 524 to 776 of the family's 1533-position model. The record is from RNAcentral.